RNAcentral lists this ribosomal RNA (615 nucleotides) under Synechocystis sp. C-01. Its description in RNAcentral is "bacterial SSU rRNA". It matches the Rfam family "Bacterial small subunit ribosomal RNA", at positions 122 to 770 of the family's 1533-position model. The record is from RNAcentral. Lineage: Bacteria; Bacillati; Cyanobacteriota; Cyanophyceae; Synechococcales; Merismopediaceae.
GAACCUACCUUCAGAAUGGGGACAACAGUUGGAAACGACUGCUAAUACCCAAUGUGCCGAAAGGUGAAAGAUUUAUCGUCUGAAGAUGGGCUCGCGUCUGAUUAGCUAGAUGGUGGGGUAAGAGCCUACCAUGGCAACGAUCAGUAGCUGGUCUGAGAGGAUGAGCAGCCACACUGGGACUGAGACACGGCCCAGACUCCUACGGGAGGCAGCAGUGGGGAAUUUUCCGCAAUGGGCGAAAGCCUGACGGAGCAAUACCGCGUGAGGGAGGAAGGUCCUUGGAUUGUAAACCUCUUUUAUCAGGGAAGAAGUUCUGACGGUACCUGAUGAAUAAGCAUCGGCUAACUCCGUGCCAGCAGCCGCGGUAAUACGGAGGAUGCAAGCGUUAUCCGGAAUUAUUGGGCGUAAAGCGUCCGUAGGUGGUUAUGCAAGUCUGCCGUUAAAGAAUGGAGCUUAACUCCAUAGGAGCGGUGGAAACUGCAAGACUAGAGUACAGUAGGGGUAGCAGGAAUUCCCAGUGUAGCGGUGAAAUGCGUAGAUAUUGGGAAGAACAUCGGUGGCGAAAGCGUGCUACUGGGCUGAAACUGACACUGAGGGACGAAAGCUAGGGUAGCG